GUGUGAUUGGCUGACAGAGUGAUCCUUCCUCAUUAUUUUACCUCACGAUGACGACUCUGUCAGCAGAUUGUCAUUUGACUGACAGCUUCUGAUCAAUGUGGAAGCAGCCAAAUAUCUCCAAAUGAAAGAAAACUUGGGUUUAUCUUUGCAAUAAUACCCUUCACAAGGUGUUCAGAUGAAGAAAAAAAGAGGAUAAAACUCCAGAAGAAGGACACAGAUUCAGUUCACAUUAAGAGGAGCAUCCAGCAGGACACACAGAAGAUAAAAAAAAAAAACAA
Molecule: long non-coding RNA, 278 nt
Organism: Carassius auratus (goldfish)
Lineage: Eukaryota; Metazoa; Chordata; Actinopteri; Cypriniformes; Cyprinidae
Exons: 2
Source: RefSeq, a predicted model, not a curated record